Molecule: long non-coding RNA, 1224 nt
Organism: Rhododendron vialii
Lineage: Eukaryota; Viridiplantae; Streptophyta; Magnoliopsida; Ericales; Ericaceae
Exons: 2
Source: RefSeq, a predicted model, not a curated record
UAAGAGUACGCGUGACACCACAGAACAGAAAUUGAGUGCGAAAGUGAAAGGCCUAGAGGAUUAUGUGACCUAAGUCUCACCGCCAAACUCACACCUUUUGCUCCUUUGUUAUAAAUAAGAUAGUAAGGAGAGCCAUAUUGCUUAUGGGUGUCCAAAACACACACACACACUCUCUCUCUCUCUCUCUCUCUCUCUCUCUCUCUCAUGAGAGAGGGGGUAGAUGCAGGUUGUGGGCAUAUGAAGGUGGGUGUUGAGCAAGAUGGAGAAGCAGGGCACGUGCAUUACUAACUCAUGCACACACCCAAUCUCCCUUUCAUCCCUACUACUUCCUGCAGUUCUUACACAUCCACAUACAUAAUUAUAUGUAUAUAUAUACACACAUUUGUGUGUGUAUGUGUGUUCAGAUUGUGUGUGUGGCUCUCAGUGAUGAGUUGGUGCUUCAUGUGCCCCCCUUCCCCAUCAUGACCACUCCACCUUACUACCAUCUGAUUCCAACACCAACAAGAGAAUUCCGGCGGUUGUCGCAAAAAUUUCUGGAAAAAAAAAAAAAGAACGAAUGAAUCUUCGUAGGGUUCACAAGAAAUUUCGCUGAAUCGUUCAAAAAGUUCACAUAUAUCCCGGGAAAGCUUCAUUUUCAGAGCUGGUUGAAGUUGGAUUGUACUUGGCAGUUUAUAAAUUUGUAUUCCACCACAAGCAAGGCGCGGUGCGCUUCUCAGGGAUACAAACAUACACAUACGGACACAAAGAUAGAGGUGUAGAGCUAUCGGACCAACAGGGGCACGACACGUUCAGAAACUGGCGUUCUCCAUCUCAUGACACAGUGAUAGCGAUGCCACCGGCGACUCUGAUGACGUGCAAAUGCUGAAAUGUUUGUAGAAGUGCUAGGAAUAAGUCUUAACUGAUCAAGAACUUCAUUGAUCUGAUGUAUGGAUUGGAGCGUGAAGUUUGACUUUAUCUUGUUAUGUCGGCCAUGUCAUAUUUCUAGUAGAUUCAUCAGUAGGGGUACUAGCUAGUGGUAUUUUUAUCCAGAUCUUUAACCUAGCAGGUCGUGGCGACUCCGAUGUAAUUAAUUUUGUCAUUCUUCUAUAGUUAGAUCAUCGCGAAAAACGGAACGUGGAUGUAGAAUAUUGCAUCAAGUGAUGAACUUGGGUGUUCUUGUGUGGUUUUUAUUUCAUAUUCCGCGCUUUGUUUUACAUUGAAGUCUACUAAUUAUUUCUGUCUCAA